GACGAACGCUGGCGGCGUGCUUAACACAUGCAAGUCGAACGGAAAGGCCCUGCUUUUGUGGGGUGCUCGAGUGGCGAACGGGUGAGUAACACGUGAGUAACCUGCCCUUGACUUUGGGAUAACUUCAGGAAACUGGGGCUAAUACCGGAUAGGAGCUCCUGCUGCAUGGUGGGGGUUGGAAAGUUUCGGCGGUUGGGGAUGGACUCGCGGCUUAUCAGCUUGUUGGUGGGGUAGUGGCUUACCAAGGCUUUGACGGGUAGCCGGCCGGGGGGGGUGACCGGCCAGCUGGGGUUGGACAGAGGCACGGCCCACACACGGGGGGGAGGGGGGGGGAAUUUGGAAAAGAGGGGGGACGCAAGCGGGAGCAAGCCGGGGGGCGGGAGGGGGGAAUUCGGGUGGGAAGCAGAUUUCGCUUGUGAGGAAGGGUAAGGACGGUAAAGGGGUAAAAAGGCCCGGGUAACUCAGUG
This 467-nucleotide ribosomal RNA is filed under the name uncultured bacterium. RNAcentral's name for it is "partial 16S ribosomal RNA". The stretch from base 20 to 329 matches the Rfam family "Bacterial small subunit ribosomal RNA", at positions 47 to 358 of the family's 1533-position model. The record is from RNAcentral.